AGUCUUUUAAUUGAUGACUUGUAUGAAAGAUUGGAUGAGAUAUAGACUGUCUCUUUAUUAAAAAUAGAAUUUAAUUUUUUAAUUAAAAAGUUAAAAUAAAUUUAAAAGACGAGAAGACCCUAUAGAGUUUUAUAAUUUAUGUUAAGAAGAUUUUAUAUAAGUAUAAUUAAUUUUUAUAAUAUAAUUUAAUUGAUUGGGGUGAUUAAAAAAUUAAUUGAACUUUUUUUUUUAAAAACAUAGAUAAAUGAAUAUAUUGAUCCAUUAUUAAUGAUUAAAAGAAAAAAUUACCUUAGGGAUAACAGCGUAAUUUUUUUUUUUAGUUCAAAUAAAAAAAAGAGUUUGCGACCUCGAUUUUGGAUUAANAUAAAAUUUAAAUGC
Molecule: ribosomal RNA, 378 nt
Filed under: Chilo sacchariphagus (spotted sugarcane borer)
Lineage: Eukaryota; Metazoa; Arthropoda; Insecta; Lepidoptera; Crambidae
Description: partial 16S ribosomal RNA
Source: RNAcentral